CAUUAUAUCAACCAUUUCUAUGUGGUGUGCUUCAAUUUAAAAAACCCUGCAAUUGAGAUUUUGGACAACAAUUGUUUAGGAGAUUCAAUUACAAGCAUUUAUGAUGGUUACCCGCAAAACUUGAAAGAGAAUUUUGUAAAAUACAUGAUGAAUGUUAGUGAGGUGAAAGCUAGAAAUUUGUUGAAUGUUGAAAUCACACGACUUCAGAUGAAAUGGCGCACGACAAACAAUUCUAUUGAUUGUGGAAUCUUUGCAAUGCGCCACAUGGAGACCUAUAAAGGGAAUGGAGUCCGUAGCUGGGAUUCAAAAUUCGCUCCUGAAACUCAAAAGCAAAUUCAAGCGAGACAGAUACACAAGGCCAGACAACUCUAUGCUCACAAAAUCAUUUCAUCAACUGCUAACUCCUUGCGAAAUCAGAUGCAGCUAGACAUUAAUUGCACUUUAGCAAGAAAUUAACAAGUAAAUAUUAGUGAUAAAUUUGUAUAGAGCUGGUGGAGGACUGGAGGUCAUAACAGAAGUGAUACAACUUUGUUCCUUUGGAGUAA
Molecule: long non-coding RNA, 545 nt
Organism: Daucus carota subsp. sativus
Lineage: Eukaryota; Viridiplantae; Streptophyta; Magnoliopsida; Apiales; Apiaceae
Exons: 3
Source: RefSeq, a predicted model, not a curated record